Molecule: non-coding RNA, 537 nt
Organism: Pundamilia nyererei
Lineage: Eukaryota; Metazoa; Chordata; Actinopteri; Cichliformes; Cichlidae
Source: the annotation of a RefSeq genome assembly
UCGCUUUGUAAGUUCCAAGUCUCAACACACAGUGACAACAUGCUGGUGACUCUCUGUGCUCUCAUCACUGCUCUAACAUGUGUGAGUGGUGUGACGGUGCUGACACAGAAACCUCCUGUUCUAUCAGUGAGGAAAGGAGAGACAGCCACCAUGGACUGUAACCUGGGGACUGUUACUGACUAUGUAUAUUGGUAUAAACAGAUUCCAGGAGGAGUUCCUCAGUUUGUGCUGUAUUUUCGUUAUGACUCUAGUUCUCCAAGCUAUGGUUCUGGGUUCUCCUCUCCAAAAUUCACAUCCACUCAUCAGUCAACAAAAGAUUAUCGUUUGAUCAUCAACAAUGUGGAGGAGGGAGACUCUGCAGUCUAUUACUGUAAGACAUGGGACAGCAAUAAUGCUGUAUUCGGACAAGGCACCAAGUUGGUUAUGACAAGCUCCAGCCUCCCUCCUCCUGUCCUGACAGUCUUCCCUCCGUCCAGUGCUGAGCUCCAGUCCGACACAGCUUCUCUGGUCUGUCUGUCCAGUCAGUCUGUGUCUUUU